Molecule: non-coding RNA, 112 nt
Organism: Streptococcus sp. 'caviae'
Lineage: Bacteria; Bacillati; Bacillota; Bacilli; Lactobacillales; Streptococcaceae
Source: Rfam
UAUUCCUUUAACACUGUCCCGUGAGGCAGGCAAGGAGCUGGUUAGAAAAAAGUGCAGGGGAAACUGUACUUAUAUUUCGUGAAAUCUCCUUGUAUAAGGAGAUUUUUUCUUA